Molecule: long non-coding RNA, 432 nt
Organism: Lycium ferocissimum
Lineage: Eukaryota; Viridiplantae; Streptophyta; Magnoliopsida; Solanales; Solanaceae
Exons: 2
Source: RefSeq, a predicted model, not a curated record
AAAAUAACUUUUCCAAAAGCAGAAGCAGUUUUUAAUUUUUUUUCUUGGCAAUAAUACCCUUAGUAAAAGAAGUUAUAUACCUUAAUAACCCUACUUAAUUAAAUCCAGUAAUAAAUAUGAUAUUCUACAACUUAUUCGUUCCCAAAUGGUUCGACGGCAUUAAUACCCUUCAACCAAGCCUUGAACAUCAACAACAAUUCAUUUUUCACAAGUUUGAGAUGUACAAUUGAAAGAACUUUUGGGUCUGGAAAAACAUUAUACCAGAUCUUGAGGAAGAAGGAGGGCAUUCAGGCAUGCAUUCAGAAAUGCAAGGCACGUCUACUAAUGCUAUGAAGUUGUUGCAUGAUAAAAUUAGGGAUGAUAUCAUUACCAACUCUUCUCAUGUAUAUGUAUUUCUUCUUAUUUUAGGGUAGACUCAUAAUAUUUGAUUUU